UUGGUGCCUUCGGGAACUUACAUACAGGUGCUGCAUGGCUGUCGUCAGCUCGUGUCGUGAGAUGUUGGGUUAAGUCCCGCAACGAGCGCAACCCUUUUCCUUAUUUGCCAGCGGGUUAAGCCGGGAACUUUAAGGAUACUGCCAGUGACAAACUGGAGGAAGGCGGGGACGACGUCAAGUCAUCAUGGCCCUUACGACCAGGGCUACACACGUGCUACAAUGGUCGGUACAAAGGGUUGCUACCUCGCGAGAGGAUGCUAAUCUCAAAAAGCCGAUCGUAGUCCGGAUYGSAGUCUGCAACUCGACUSCRUGAAGUCGGAAUCGCUAGUAAUCGCGGAUCAGAAUGCCGCGGUGAAUACGUUCCCGGGCCUUGUACACACCGCCCGUCACACCAUGGGAGUUUGUUGCACCAGAAGUAGGUAGUCUAA
Molecule: ribosomal RNA, 428 nt
Filed under: Acinetobacter sp.
Lineage: Bacteria; Pseudomonadati; Pseudomonadota; Gammaproteobacteria; Moraxellales; Moraxellaceae
Description: bacterial SSU rRNA
Rfam family: Bacterial small subunit ribosomal RNA
Source: RNAcentral